CAUACGGGUGGCAGCAGUGAGGAAUAUUGGUCAAUGGGCGGGAGCCUGAACCAGCCAAGUCGCGUGAGGGAAGACGGUCCUAUGGAUUGUAAACCUCUUUAGGCGGGGAGCAAUGCCGGGCACGCGUGCCCGGAGGGAGCGUACCCGCAGAAUACGCAUCGGCUAAAUCCGGGCCAGCAGCCGCGGUCAAACGGAGGAUGCGGUCGGUAUCCGGAUUUAUUGGGUUUAAAGUGUGCGUAGGCGGAUUUUUAAGUCAGCGGUAAAAUGUCCGGGCUCAACCCGGGCGGGCCGUUGAAACUGGGGAUCUUGAGUGGGCGAGAAGUAUGCGGAAUGCGUGGUGUAGCGGUGAAAUGCAUAGAUAUCACGCAGAACUCCGAUUGCGAAGGCAGCAUACCGGCGCCCGACUGACGCUGAGGCACGAAAGCGUGGGGAUCGAACAGGAUUAGAUACCCUUGUAGUC
Molecule: ribosomal RNA, 460 nt
Filed under: uncultured bacterium
Lineage: Bacteria
Description: partial 16S ribosomal RNA
Rfam family: Bacterial small subunit ribosomal RNA
Source: RNAcentral